CAGUGCCACGGUAAUACGUAGGUGGCAAGCGUUGUCCGGAAUUAUUGGGCGUAAAGGGCUUGCAGGCGGUUUCAUAAGUCUGAUGUGAAAUCUUCGGGCUCAACUCGAAGUCUGCAUGGGAAACUGUCGGGCUUGAGUAUGGGAGAGGUGAGUGGAAUUUCCGGUGUAGCGGUGAAAUGCGUAGAUAUCGGAAGGAACACCUGUGGCGAAAGCGGCACACUGGACCAUAACUGACGCUGAGGCACGAAAGCUAGGGGAGCAAACAGGAUUAGAUACCCCUGUAGUCCCUGUCUCUUAUACC
RNAcentral lists this ribosomal RNA (301 nucleotides) under uncultured bacterium. RNAcentral describes it as "partial 16S ribosomal RNA". It matches the Rfam family "Bacterial small subunit ribosomal RNA", at positions 509 to 808 of the family's 1533-position model. The record is from RNAcentral.